Molecule: ribosomal RNA, 478 nt
Filed under: uncultured bacterium
Lineage: Bacteria
Description: bacterial SSU rRNA
Rfam family: Bacterial small subunit ribosomal RNA
Source: RNAcentral
UCGUCAGCUCGUGUCGUGAGAUGUUGGGUUAAGUCCCGCAACGAGCGCAACCCUUAAGCUUAGUUGCCAGCAUUAAGUUGGGCACUCUAAGUUGACUGCCGGUGACAAACCGGAGGAAGGUGGGGAUGACGUCAAAUCAUCAUGCCCCUUAUGAUUUGGGCUACACACGUGCUACAAUGGACAAUACAAAGGGCAGCUAAACCGCGAGGUCAUGCAAAUCCCAUAAAGUUGUUCUCAGUUCGGAUUGUAGUCUGCAACUCGACUACAUGAAGCUGGAAUCGCUAGUAAUCGUAGAUCAGCAUGCUACGGUGAAUACGUUCCCGGGUCUUGUACACACCGCCCGUCACACCACGAGAGUUUGUAACACCCGAAGCCGGUGGAGUAACCAUUUAUGGAGCUAGCCGUCGAAGGUGGGACAAAUGAUUGGGGUGAAGUCGCAACAAGGUAGCCGUAUCGGAAGGUGCGGUUGGAUCACCUC